RNAcentral lists this long non-coding RNA (305 nucleotides) under Elaeis guineensis (African oil palm). RNAcentral's name for it is "long non-coding RNA (EGUI_LNC063096)". The record is from RNAcentral. Lineage: Eukaryota; Viridiplantae; Streptophyta; Magnoliopsida; Arecales; Arecaceae.
CUGCUGGUUCAGCAGGUCAGGGGUCUCACCGAAGCAGUGCAGACCAUGCAGCAGCAGCAGCAACCGCAGGCAUCUGUGCGACUGGAAAGAGCAUCGUCGGAGUUCUAGAAUCCGACGAUCGGGUGGCCCACUUGGGCCAGUCGUCCUGUGUUCCCCGAAAAGGAAAAGCAGAGGGUGGAGAGCCCUCUUUCUGAUCAUGAUUCCACCCUCGGAGGGUUUCUACCUCCGUUUUGCCAGAAGACCCUCGAGACUCACAGUCGAGAGGAUCUCCUGGAUUAAAGGUUCCAAGAGAUGAAUCGGUGGAU